UUGUGCCACUGCCAUGGAAUCCUGGAAUCAUGGAAUGCUCUGGCCAGGAAGGGACAUUAAAGCUCCUCUCAUCCCACCCCUGCCAUGGCAGGGACACCUCCCACUGUCCCAGGCUGCUCCCAGCCCUGUCCAGCCUGGCCUUGGGCACUGCCAGGGAUGCAGGGGCAGCCACAGCUGCUCUGGGCACCCUGUGCCAGGGCCUCUUCACCUCACAGAGAAGGAUUUUUUCCUAAUAUCCUAUCUAAUCCUGCGCUCUGACAGUGGGAAGUCAUUCUCCCUUGUCCUGGCACUCCAUCCCUUGCUGAACAGCCCCAGUUCUCCCAGCCUUUCCUCACAGGAAAGGUGCUCCACCCUCCCAUCACCCUCAGGACUCAGGAGAAGUCCUUGGCUCCUCUGUUCCUCCUCCUAAGUCAGAUGAAACCUGUCCUGGUCCAUCCUGGGUGAAACUUGUGGGACAAACACCCAGAGAGAAGAGACCCUGAGAAAUGAGACGAUGAACACAUCAAACCUUCCAGCUCAAAACAACAACAAAAUUGUAAAUACUGACUGAGCACACAUUGAGGGCAGAGGAAAUCCCAGGUAGAGAUGUGUUGGAAAAGGAGGGACAGCCCAGCUGCUCCUCUCCUGCCUGAGGGCCUACAACUGGUGCAGGGCCAUCUUGGGCAGAUUGUUCUAUAGAGGAGUUACAAAGAGGCUCUAAGAGAAUCCUGCACAGCUCAGAGCCCAAAAAACACCAGAGUGAAAGAGAGGGGAAUAUGGCACUCAGGGCCACACUCACUCCAGCCAGGAAUUUGUUUGGAAAACUCUGCUCAUUCUUCACGCAGCUCCUUUUGCCUCUCAGAGAGAGGCAGAGGGGACCUGCGAAUCCUUGGUUGGGCAGAGGGGGUGGUUAUUGAAAGGGGUCUUUUGCCUCCAGUUUUGUUCCUCCCCUUCCUCACCAAAGCCCCAUUUUAUGAGCCACAGCUUCUGAAAGAGCAUAAAAGUUUCAGAGCAUUUGUGAAGGAUAAAAUGAAGAGAAGGCAACUUUCUUACAACUUCACUGAAAUCCAAGGAAAACUGGGGAAACUUCCAUGCCCCUCCAGAUCAUCAGCAUAGAGGCUGAGGAAGAUGAAGGAAAACCAAAAUGGAAUGAAAUCUUCAAGUGCCUCUCCAGCAAUUCAUCUAUCCCAGGAGGAACAAGGAGGCCUGAGGAUAGAAACUAUCUUUUUUCUAAACAUCUUAAACUUGAGAUAAUCAGUGUAGAGUCAGGUUUUUUUCAAACAUUUUCCUGAGGAAAAAAAGAGAAAAUAAAAGGUCUCUGUGAGGCAAGAGCCACCUGUGCUUCCAUCCCCUGGGAAUUUUGCUUGGAGUUGCAUCUUCCUGCCUCUUGUCUGUCUUGGGUUCACUCCCUCCUUGGCCGCAGCCCUUUGUGAUUUCCUGUGUUUGAAGCCUGCUCAAGCUUUUCUUUGUUGCACAAAACCUGCCUGUAAAGCUCCGUGUUUUCCAGGAAAAUGCUGGCAGGACAUCCAUAACCUUUCAGCAUCCCUUUCUUGUUUCCUUCUAAGGCCUGAACUCUUUCAGUGGCCCCUUCAGAUGUUCUCAGCUGAAUUUGACAGCCAGGACCUGCCACCAGCAAUGCCCAAAUGCUGCUCUGAGGAAUUGGGUUUAUUCCAGGUAUUUCUGCUGGAAUUACAGGCCACAGACACAACAAAGCUUUGCAUAUAAUAAUAUCCUUCCCCAAAAAAAAAAAAAAAAAAAAAGGUUUCAAAACAGCCCAGAUAAGCAGAAUAAAAGCUUCUUCUUUUUUACAUAAUGUCUUUCUAUUCCCCAGAAUCCCUUUCAAGGCUUUGUGCAAGGGAGACAAAUCAUCUCAAUUACAAAUAAUCUUCAUUUCCUGAUUCUCUAGUUACUUUGCUGUGUUUCCCUGUCAGGUCUAAGGUCUUCCCAAGGCAGAUUCCUUCUAAUCCAAGAGGAAUGUGUUUCAGAGGAGACUGGCAAAGGAAAAUCCCAAUUGCUGAGACUUUCCUGAGGGGGAAACCGUAUCUCUGAGUGCAGAAACAACAGGAAAAAAUAAUCAUUGCCACCUGGAGCUGGACAAGGGAACUUUUCAGAUGGAUGAUCCAAACAAACUUUUCAGCUGGAUGAUCCAAAUGGACUGGAGAAAAUAAUUUUAUAGAAUCACAGAAUGGUUUGGCUUGGGAGGGACCUUAAAGCCCAUCUCAUUCCAACCCCAUGGGCAGGGAUACCAGUGAAAGCCCGUUUGCAGACAUUGUGCUUUCCCAGGGAGAAAGCAUCCGAGAAAAGCCACCUCAGGCCAACCAAAUAUUUCAUUUGACCUGAAGGUAACAGAUUUAUGGCGUCUGAGUCACUUAAUUAAUUUUUAUUUACAGUUUAGAUCAGUGCUAUUUCCAAGCAUAAAGUCAAAAGAAGCAUUUCAAGUACA
This is a long non-coding RNA of Vidua chalybeata, 2422 nucleotides long. RefSeq lists it as uncharacterized. The record is from RefSeq and is a predicted model, not a curated record. The transcript is spliced from 3 exons. Lineage: Eukaryota; Metazoa; Chordata; Aves; Passeriformes; Viduidae.